GAACGUCUUUAAUGAGGGAAGAAAAUCACAAUCCCAUGAUGCAUUGUGUAGGACAGUCAGUCGAUGGAGAAAUAUAAAUCUAUUCAUUUAAAAUAGUCAAUUAUAUCUACUGUAUGCUCGAUUAUGUCAUUUGCGGUGCUUAUAUACCUGAAAUGAGUCAAAAAGUUUUUUGUAAAAAGUUUUUCUUCUGCUAAUAUAGUAAAAGCAGUAAUAUUGUGAAAUAUGAAAAUUUAAAAGAAUUUUAGCAAUGCUUCAUGGGAGCUCUUUUGGUGUUGUUUGCUCAUUGCGACUUCUAGACAGCAUCAUGGGUAAUGUAGUUUUUCACCACAAAUGCCUCCGUUAAACAUGAUUAUUUUGAGUGAAAAUGAUGCUGAUGUCUUCCAGAAAAACAUAUACCACCGAUUAACAACCUUAGAACUCACAGCAGGUCUGUCUAUAAAGGUUUAUAGUUAUAAAUCGAUUUCCCUAUGGAGAAAAUGUUUUUACGUCCGGCACGAAUGUUGCACUCUAUUUAAUUUUUCCCUUGAGGUCCACUUAAAAUGUUUUUUUUUUUUGAGCCAGUAUAGUUUUUCAUAUCCAUUUUCCACCCUCUCUAUAUGGUUACAUGCUUUUGAUAGCUCAUUUGAUGAGGUUAGAUGCCAUUUUCCCAGCAUCCUCCUAGAUAAUGGCCUGGAUAAGAUGCAUUUCAGCGUGAAGAAGAGAACAGACGGCUGCACAAAAGCACCAGUUAUGGUGCACAGCAUCAAGUCAGAAGAAGCAUAGAAAUGCAAUGAGUUUCUUCUAACGGUGCCCUUGAGAAAGAGCCGCAUAGAGCCGAGAUUUCUCUCGUCUUACAGCAUAAAUAUGUGAUGCGUCACUUUAGAUCUGAACGGAUCCAGUGCCAAACGAGAUUUCAGAGGACGCUGGAAAGCGAAAGCGUGGAGGAGUAAUGGCUUUAAAAUAUUGCUGUGUGUUUGAGCCAGUGAGUACUGUGCAGCCCGGAGCCUGUCUGAUCCCUCCGCCGCCAUCCAUCUGAGAUCUGAGAUGUUGACCUGUUGGUAUGGGUGAAAAAUGUCCUAUUUUACAUUGAGGGAGGGACCUGAGCCAUAUCUAAAGAACAGACUAUCAUUGACUUGAGGUAAGCAAUCAUCAAGGAAUCACCUGAACACCCCAACUUUAUAGCAACACUCUGGCAACCUUCCAAAACACUCCAACAACAGCAUGGAAACAAAGUAUCGGCUGUUUCUCAAUAUGCGUUCUUUAGCGAUCUUGCGUCCUUGUGUUCUCGCUCUACGUCAUCAUUAACCGUCGAAGUUCAGUUCCAAUUCUCAAGAACGCGAGUAAAGAGGACGCAUGAAAGUUCCUGGAUGUGUUCUUGAUAUCGAGGAUGCAUCGAGUGCAGACUUGAGAGAAUCGAGCCGUUAGAAAUCACAGAAGACGCUGCGCGCGGCCGCUGUACGGAAGCCUGCAAGCUUUAAACUCGCUCUCGCAAAUGCUUGACGGCUCUUGAAAGUAAACAUUUACCGUUUUUUUUUACUUAUUUUUAUUAAAGUUAUAAGUCUGCAGUAUUUUUACUGGCAUAUUAAAAUUAAUCUUUAC
This is a long non-coding RNA of Cyprinus carpio (common carp), 1578 nucleotides long. RefSeq lists it as uncharacterized. The record is from RefSeq and is a predicted model, not a curated record. Lineage: Eukaryota; Metazoa; Chordata; Actinopteri; Cypriniformes; Cyprinidae.